Molecule: ribosomal RNA, 573 nt
Filed under: uncultured bacterium
Lineage: Bacteria
Description: bacterial SSU rRNA
Rfam family: Bacterial small subunit ribosomal RNA
Source: RNAcentral
CGGCCCUUACUCCUACGGGAGGCAGCAGUGGGGAAUAUUGGACAAUGGACCGGGAGUCUGAUCCAGCAAUUCUGUGUGCACGAUGAAGUUUUUCGGAAUGUAAAGUGCUUUCAGUUGGGAAGAAAGAAAUGACGGUACCAACAGAAGAAGUGACGGCUAAAUACGUGCCAGCAGCCGCGGUAAUACGUAUGUCACGAGCGUUAUCCGGAUUUAUUGGGCGUAAAGCGCGUCUAGGUGGUUAUAUAAGUCUGAUGUGAAAAUGCAGGGCUCAACUCUGUAUUGCGUUGGAAACUGUAUAACUAGAGUACUGGAGAGGUAAGCGGAACUACAAGUGUAGAGGUGAAAUUCGUAGAUAUUUGUAGGAAUGCCGAUGGGGAAGCCAGCUUACUGGACAGAUACUGACGCUGAAGCGCGAAAGCGUGGGUAGCAAACAGGAUUAGAUACCCUGGUAGUCCACGCUGUAAACGAUGAUUACUAGGUGUUGGGGGUCGAACCUCAGCGCCCAAGCAAACGCGAUAAGUAAUCCGCCUGGGGAGUACGUACGCAAGUAUGAAACUCAAAGGAAUUGACGGC